RNAcentral lists this small RNA (207 nucleotides) under Mycobacterium sp. Its description in RNAcentral is "c-di-AMP sequence". It matches the Rfam family "c-di-AMP riboswitch aptamer (ydaO/yuaA leader)". From Rfam's summary of the family: This family represents a conserved RNA structure found upstream of the ydaO and yuaA genes in Bacillus subtilis and related genes in other bacteria. The record is from RNAcentral. Lineage: Bacteria; Bacillati; Actinomycetota; Actinomycetes; Mycobacteriales; Mycobacteriaceae.
UGCUCAACUACGCCGAGCUCCAUCCGUUGGGACACGGGACGACGACGAACAACCUGGAUGGAGGCGGGGGACCCAACGGUCCGCCGAACACAAGGACCAGGAGCCGCUCAGCGGCCCCUUGGGGUGAAGCCGUGUCUGACACGGCCGGGCAACCUCUCCAGCCCGAACCCGACAGCUGACCUCGUAGGCGUGCAUAAGAGAGGAUCU